UACGUGCCAGCAGCCGCGGUAAUACGUAGGGUGCAAGCGUUAUCCGGAAUUAUUGGGCGUAAAGAGCUCGUAGGCGGUUUGUCGCGUCUGCUGUGAAAACUGGGGGCUCAACCCCCAGCCUGCAGUGGGUACGGGCAGACUAGAGUGCGGUAGGGGAGAUUGGAAUUCCUGGUGUAGCGGUGGAAUGCGCAGAUAUCAGGAGGAACACCGAUGGCGAAGGCAGAUCUCUGGGCCGUAACUGACGCUGAGGAGCGAAAGGGUGGGGAGCAAACAGGCUUAGAUACCCUGGUAGUCCACCCCGUAAACGUUGGGAACUAGUUGUGGGGUCCAUUCCACGGAUUCCGUGACGCAGCUAACGCAUUAAGUUCCCCGCCUGGGGAGUACGGCCGCAAGGCUAAAACUCAAAGGAAUUGACGGGGACCCGCACAAGCGGCGGAGCAUGCGGAUUAAUUCGAUGCAACGCGAAGAACCUUACCAAGGCUUGACAUAUACGAGAACGGGCCAGAAAUGGUCAACUCUUUGGACACUCGUAAACAGGUGGUGCAUGGUUGUCGUCAGCUCGUGUCGUGAGAUGUUGGGUUAAGUCCCGCAACGAGCGCAACCCUCGUUCUAUGUUGCCAGCACGUAAUGGUGGGAACUCAUGGGAUACUGCCGGGGUCAACUCGGAGGAAGGUGGGGAUGACGUCAAAUCAUCAUGCCCCUUAUGUCUUGGGCUUCACGCAUGCUACAAUGGCCGGUACAAAGGGCUGCAAUACCGUAAGGUGGAGCGAAUCCCAAAAAGCCGGUCCCAGUUCGGAUUGAGGUCUGCAACUCGACCUCAUGAAGUCGGAGUCGCUAGUAAUCGCAGAUCAGCAACGCUGCGGUGAAUACGUUCCCGGGUCUUGUACACACCGCCCGUCAAGUCAUGAAAGUCGGUAACACCUGAAGCCGGUUGCCCAACCCUUGUGGAGGGAGCCGUCGAAGGUG
RNAcentral lists this ribosomal RNA (966 nucleotides) under Microbacterium lacus. RNAcentral's name for it is "bacterial SSU rRNA". It matches the Rfam family "Bacterial small subunit ribosomal RNA", at positions 502 to 1464 of the family's 1533-position model. Lineage: Bacteria; Bacillati; Actinomycetota; Actinomycetes; Micrococcales; Microbacteriaceae. The record is from RNAcentral.